GCAAGUCGAACGGUAACAGAAAGAGCUUGCUCUUUGCUGACGAGUGGCGCACGGGUGCGUAACGCGUAUGUAACCUACCCAUAACUGGGGAAUAGCUCAGAGAAAUCUGAAUUAAUACCCCAUAAUAAUUACUUUUCGCAUGAUUAGUAAUUUAAAGCUUCGGCGGUUAUGGAUGGACAUGCGUGACAUUAGCUAGUUGGUAAGGUAAUAGCUUACCAAGGCUACGAUGUCUAGGGGGUCUGAGAGGAUGGUC
This 253-nucleotide ribosomal RNA is filed under the name uncultured bacterium. RNAcentral describes it as "partial 16S ribosomal RNA". It matches the Rfam family "Bacterial small subunit ribosomal RNA", at positions 57 to 305 of the family's 1533-position model. The record is from RNAcentral.